AUGGAGCCCGGCGGGCCGUGGCGCGAUCCGCGCCAGGGGUACAUGUACGGGCUCGGAUCGCCGAUGCAGAUGCCGGCGCAGCAGCGCUCCGACCCGGCCGCCGCAGGCGGGGUUCUCAAGCGGAGCCUCGGCGAGCUGGAGAGGUGGCAGCACCAGCGCCAGUACGUCAUGCAGCAGGAGCUCUACAUGCGCGCCGUCAGGCAGCGCACGGCCGCCACGUCGGCGGCCGUCUCGCCGCUCACCUCGGCGGACAUCGCCGCCGUGCUCGGCGGGGUCCCGGCCCAGCCCUUCUUCUCCGGGUCGAGCCUCGGCGGUGGCCUCGCGUCGCCGUCGUCCACGCUGUCGUCCCUCACGACCGCGUCCAGGGCGGCCAUGCCGCUGAUUCAGCAGCAUGUGCAUCGGCAGGCGCCGUUCGUGCCGUCCUCGGCCCACGCGCAGGCGCAUGCUCUCGCGGUGGCGAGGGUGCCGGCUCCGUCCGCGGCUGGGAGCGAGCUGUCCAUCCUGCAGGACCUGGAGAAGCAGCUGCUCGGCGACGACGACGAGGCUGAGCCGGCGAUGAGCGGAACCGGUUCCACGGUGACCAGCUCCGAGUGGGAGGAGACCAUCCAGCGGCUCAACUCCAUCACGGCCGCGCCGUCUCCUCCACUCUACGCGGAGGGGACUCCGAAUAAUAAGAACAACUACAGCGCGGCGAUGACGGGGUCGCCGUCGAACUCGUCCACGUCCACGGCUUCUUCCUCGGCUUCCUGCUCACCGCCAAUCUCGGCCACCACGUCGCGUCAAUUACUGUCCGAAGCAGCGGCUGCCAUAGCCGACGGCAACCUUGAAACGGCGGCCGCUAAUCUGGCAACUCUCAAGCGCGCCGCUAACCCGCGCGGUGACGCGGAACAGCGGCUGGUGGCCGUGAUGGUGGCCGCCUUGUCUUCGCGCAUUGCGCCUGCUGCCUCGGCAUCGUCCCAGCACCUCGCUGACCUCUGCGGCGCCAAGCACCAUACCGGGUCCCAGCUCCUCCACGACAUCACGCCCUGCUUCCGCCUCGCCCUCGACGCCGCUAACAUCGCCAUCGUUGAGGCCGUCGCCGGCCACCGCGUCAUACAUCUGGUGGACUUCGACAUCAACGCCCCGCAGCACGCGGCACUCAUCCAGCGCCUCGCCGACCGGCGCGUGCCGGGGACAUUCCUGCAGGUGACCGCCGUAACCGAUCCCACCUCACCGUUUACGCAGUCCCUAGCAGCGACGCUUCCCGGCGUCGGGGAGCGGCUCAAGAAGCUGGCGGAGCGCGCCGGCAUAGAGUACCACUUCAGAAUGAUCAGCUGCAGAGCAGCAGAGAUUGAGGCAUCCAAGCUGGGGUCCGAGCCCGGGGAGGCGCUGGCCGUCAACCUCGCCUUCGCGCUCUCGCACGUGCCUGACGAGAGCGUGUCGCCGGCGAACCCCCGCGACGAGCUUCUCCGCCGCGUGCGCGCCCUCGGCCCGCAGGUGGUGACACUCGUGGAGCAGGAGCUGAACUCCAACACCGCCCCGCUGGCCACGCGCUUCUCGGACGCCUACUUGCACUACGGAGCCAUUCUCGAUUCACUGGACUCGACGGUCAGCCGGGAUAGCGCGGACAGGGCGCGGGCAGAGGAGGCGGUGGCAAACAUGUCGGCCAACGCGGUGGGCCGGGAGGGCGCCGACCGGCUUGAGCGGUGCGAGGUCUUCGGCAAAUGGCGCGCGCGGUUCGGCAUGGCCGGGUUCCGGCCGGUGGCGCUCGCCGCGGGCAUCGCCGACCAGGUCAUGGCGCGCGUCGGCGCUCCCCCGCCGGGCCUCGUCGUGAAUCAAGAGAACGGCGUGCUCCGGCUCGGAUGGAAGCAGCGCGUGGUGGCCGUGGCCUCCGCCUGGCGCUAA
RNAcentral lists this ribosomal RNA (1884 nucleotides) under Triticum aestivum (bread wheat). RNAcentral's name for it is "partial small subunit ribosomal RNA". Lineage: Eukaryota; Viridiplantae; Streptophyta; Magnoliopsida; Poales; Poaceae. The record is from RNAcentral.